UCAAAAAAAAAAAAAAAAAAAAAAAAAGGAACUCAUACAGCUCAAUGAUACAUUGAUCCCAAUAAAUCGUUUUAAUAAUGAUGAAAACAUCCUACUGGGUUUUUCUAGUUAAAAACUUUAGGACAAGCGCAGUGGCUCAUGCUUGUUAUUCCAACACAUUUGGGAGGCUGAGGUGGGAGGAUUGCUUGACCCUAAGAGUUCUAGACUUGCCUGGGCCACAUAGUAAGUCCCUGUCCCAGCUCCCUGCAACAUCCUCCCCAACCCAAAAAAAAAAAAAAAAAGCCAGGCACAGUGGUGAGUGCCUGUGAUCCCAGCUGUGUUUGGAGGCUGAGGUGGGAGUAUCACCUGAGCCCUGGAGGUUGAGGCUGCAAUGAGAGCUGUGAUCAUGCCACUGCACUCCAGCCUGGGCAACAGAUGAGACCCUGUGUCACAACAAGGAAUUUUUAGAAAGUGCUUUUUAAAUGCAUUUUAUUACUCUUCACAGAGUUAAACUUUCAGAGGAUUUAGUAUUAUUGAACCAAGUUUCAUAAGUGUAUUUUAAGCAAGUAAAUCUCUAAUGUAGGAAAAUCCCCAAAAUGGUAGCAUUUACUAAUGUUUUAUAUGGUAAUUUUUGAAAAAUAUAUCUGAUAUUUCUUCAGUAAAAAUGGUGUUAUUUUAAUAACUUACUAAGAAUGUUUAAAGAUUCUUUAAGUCUGGCUUAUCUAGCUAAUGUGGGCCUAUUAAAUAAUAGGCAGACUUCCUUAUAUUCUUUAGAUCUUUUCAUAUGCUCCAUUCCAAUAUCCAUCAAAAGACUUCUCUUUAUGCCAAUUAUUAUCUGUACUAGUUUUUAAUGUUCAAUUACUACAAGAUUAUAAUUACUGUUUUUAUUCAUGUUCCCAAGAAAAAUACGUAAGAUUCACACCCAACACACUUCGAAAUUUAUUUCACUCCCUUUGACUGUAUGUGAUUAUCAAAAAAGUAUUUUUCAAGAUAUUAAAAAUAAGUAAAGAAAAGUGAAAUAUUUUUAGGACAUUCAAAAUCUAAUGAAGUUCAGUGUUUCUUUAAUUGAGGGCAGGUAGAGGUGGGGGAGAAUUUCAGAAGGUAGUGAACCCAAAGGUGGAUUCUUGGAUAAUUCUACUAUUCUGUACUUGCAGCAUCUUAACCCAUCUGUUUACUACCCUAACCAUAGUUACUAAGUGGAGUUUUAUCAUAAUAAUAUACACAGCUAUCAAAGUGUUGACAUUCAGAGGAGAUUACAAAUAUUAUUUUUCUAUCACGUUGACCUACCAUGUCCACAGUCUUCCUUGAAUUACCUUCCAAUUUUACUGGGCUGCAUCUACCAUUUAUGUCUAGUUUGACUUUUUCUGACUUCACCAAUUGCUGCUAGGAACGUGCUGGUCACUCAGCAGCACACCCACAUCACAGGGGAAGAUCUUGAAAUACCUGGACAGUCUGAACACGCUGCUCUGAAUACACUCAAUUCUAAGAAGUACCAGGGAACCGCAUCUUCUUGCUGAAAUCUUGAAUUUUUGUCAGCUUUUUUUUUUUUUUUUUGCUGUGGACAGUAAAGCUGGAAAGAUCUAAAUAACCCAACAGGAAAUGCCGAUGAAGGUGCAAGAGUUGGUUUGUGGUCAUCUGGAGUCCAUGUCUCCAAGACUGCUGGACCUUCAAAUUCUGCAACUUGUUAGAUCAUCUGGAUGAUAGCACAACUGUUAGAAGACCUAGAAGAAUACAGCAUUGCUGUGACUCGGUGAUGAAUGCAGACCAUCUACCAGCUGGGGAAAGAAUCAAUUAUAAACAGGAAAAGGGAUUCGUUCCUCAUUUUAACUGAUGUUACAGUGAAGAUGGGUUCUUGAACUCUUGGAAGCCUGGAUAAGCCACCUAAUGCGCAAGAUAAAAACCAAAGACUAAUAUUGGGGAAAAGAAUGCUUAGUACUUGAAGACUGAAUGUUGAAUACCUGUUGAAUAUUCCUAUUGAGGUUUUUUCCUAAAUAUACUUCAGUAACAUCUUAGGACAAUUCACUGGAGAAAUGUUGAUCCCUGGCUGGAAUGUCAUACCAUUGACCCAUCUGAAGAGUUAAAGCUGGAUUUGACUGCUCUUUUCUACCAAGAAUAUUGUUAGGGUAGCCUUUUACCAGUUUCUAAACAAUUGUAAUCAUUUAUUGACUCAGCAAUUCCUCAGAUAACAGGUCAAAAGAUGUACAGAUAUAUUCUAAAGUUUUCCUGUUAUUAAAGGCACAAGAGUUUCCUUGUAUUUUGACUGACAAUGUAGCAUGUUUCCAUUUUAGUUUGUUAGUGAUGGUGGUUUUCCCUCUGAAAGCCAUUUGGUGUAUUCACCAUAACAAUUAGUUUAAUAUGAUUACAUAAGAAAACUAUGAUAAAACCCAGCAAUUUUAGUAGUUGUGAAAAUACGUUUUUUAAAUCAUGUUUAAGAAGAAUUGCAGGACUUGAAACCAAAUCCUGAUGGGGAAAUUCUGUUUAAUCCUGUUUAAUCUGUUUAAUUUCUGUUCAAUCCUUAGUUUCUUAACCUGCAUAGCUUAUCCUAUAUUGUACUUUCUUUCUUUUUUAAACUCCCAAACAAGAAGCUUGAAAUGUUUCCUGUAUUUUAAAGUUGAAAUUUGGUCACAGGGUAUAGUCAGAUUUUUAUUAAGGUUUGGUUUGACAACCUUUAAAAGAAAGGUUUACCUCGCUAAUACUUCUUAAUAACAUGCAUCAAAUGAUAUUCCCUAUGGUGAAGUAUAUUCUCAAAGUUUUGUUAUCUUUCAUUUUUGGCAUUUGCUGCUUAUGGACUUAGUACCCAGGCAACAAAGAUCUAUUAUGUACCUACUGUGUUGUAUGUUUGCUGUUAUUCCCCCCCUCCCCAAAAAAGAGCAUAUAUGCAUAAGAAAUAAAUAGAAUUAUUUUGUUUCUCCCACAAAGCCCAUGGGAGAUGGCCCAACAAAUGUUUAAAAAGUAAAAGAGGCCAGGCAUGGUGGUUCCCACCUGUAACCCCCACACUUUGGGAGGCCAUGGCGGGUGGAUCACGAGGUCAGGAGUUUGAGACCAGCCUGGCCAACACAGUGAAACCGUGUCUCUACUAUAAAUACAAAAAUUAGCCAGGCAUGGUGGCAGGCACCUGUAGUCCCAGCUACUCAGGAGGCUGAGGCAGGAGAAUCGCUUGAACCCAGGAGGCAGAGGUUGCAGUGAGCCAAGAUCAUGCCACUGCCCUCCAGCCUGGGUGACAGAGCGAGACUCUGUCUCCAAAAAAGAAAAAAGAACUAAAAAGAAAGGAGCAGUUUAUGAUUGAAGAAAACAUGACCUGGGCUGAAAAAGUGAGGAUUGAUUGGAGUGGGCUAGAACGAGCUAUAGUUUCUAGCUCAUUUGUAAGGAGGUAGACAAAGGGGCAUUGGUGCCUCAGAGUGGGUGUCUGGUGAGAGGAAAAACGGUGCUUAAGAGAUUUUCAGGCUAUUGCUGUUGGACAGGCAUAUUUUCUCCCUUUGCCUUUAGCUGUAGAUAAAGUUUGGUUAUGACCUGAGGCUUCUUGUAUUCAAACUUGGCCUAGGGCCUAUGUAGAGGCCCUAGGGUCUACUUGGGGUGGAGGAGGGAAGUAUUUGUAGAAUGUGUAGGCUUGAGAAGUAAAUAAAGCCAAAAAAGCAUCACUUGCUUACAUUU
Molecule: long non-coding RNA, 3630 nt
Organism: Nomascus leucogenys (northern white-cheeked gibbon)
Lineage: Eukaryota; Metazoa; Chordata; Mammalia; Primates; Hylobatidae
Exons: 2
Source: RefSeq, a predicted model, not a curated record